UUUUCUUUUUCUUCUUUUCCAAGCUUUGAGCACUUGAUCAUCACCAUGGCCAUCACCAUCAUCAUGAUCUUCAUUCACUUGCUGCAUUGUUUGGUGUGUACUAAGCUAUCUCAUAUUCACUUAGAGCCAAAGGUUAGUACCUAGGAUUUCAUCAAUUAUCCAAAACCAAACUAGGACUUUCAAACGUUCAAAAAUCAAAUGUUGUAACAUCCCAAUGUCUCAUUCAACAUAGAGAAAGAAUGGGCACAACAUCAUAAAUCAACUACCACAACAUCGUCGGCCAUGCAGGCUUGGAUGUGUAUGGUAGCAAUCAAGGGAUGGGUUUGCGGGUGAAAGUUUCAGUUCCAAUUGGAGUCUGAUGGUCCCCAUGGGCAAUGGGAGAGAGAAGGGGUCUAAGGCGGCCCGGCACCCCCCAACCUUCUCAUACCUCCUAUGAUACACCCCUUAAAUAUGAUACUUAAUUAUCUAAUUAGCAAGUUUAGUAAUGAUAUUUGUACAUUGACUUUUUUUAACCUUUCUCCAUAUUAAUCUCUAAAGUAUCUUAUAUAAUUAAAAAUGUCUUUCUAUUAUUUUCUUAAUCUCUUUGGUUAAUUUUAUUAUUGUGUACUAAACAUUAGUUUGUUCUGUUCACAUAGGUCAGCCGUAUUUUGGGUUGUUGGACCUUGUAACAUGUUGGGACUUCUUAGGGACGCGAAUAGGGGUCCUUGGCUAGCUUAGACCUUAUCAUCAGUAGUCGUUCUCCACAUUAGGGUUUUAAUUUUGCUUUAGAUCAAUCUGUCUUUGAAUUAUCGCCAUCAUUGGUUGUGAAAUUCUAACUUCGAGUGAUUGAUAAUACAUCAGUAAUUGUCAUUUCGAUUGAGUUGCUUCUUUUCAAAUUCUUGCUUGUGUUCUUUGUUUCAUAGGUAGAGAUUAGUUUUCUUGGUGAGGUUGACCAGAUUAUGACACGGUUGGUAACUAGAGUAGUCCUAGUGCUAAGGUUGUAUUGUUCGGGUUUUCUGAUCUGAAGUCAGAUCAAUGCUCUAACAAAAACGAUAGUUAUAUUCACUUGACGGAAGAUCAGGAACCUUGUCCCAUCAAAAAACAUACAAUUUGAUAUAAAUAUAUUUUAUCAGUCGGAGGUAUUAAACAAUAACUAAUAUUUUUGUUUGGCUGAUAAGCCAUGACAGAAAUUAUUGUUGGUUGUAAUGAAUAACUGACAGAUUUGUCUCAAGCGAACAAGCUGUAUGUCUAGUAAAAUUUUAAACCGCGUGAAAGCACAGGUUAUAAUAAUAACUUAAAUUCCUCGAAUCUAGCGAAUUAGCCUGGAUCCGAAACAAAACCUCUAUCUAGCUCGAAGUACGCAACUGACCAAACCCGACCAAACCAAACUAAACCAUUGAUAAUAAAUUAACUGAUGAUGAUGACAGCAACUACUACUCCGAAUAAACGAGGCCACCCCAGACAGGCAGACACGGCUGGCAGCUCUCAAACACACAAAUGUCCAUGGGGAAGCCCAAGUCGUCGUCGACGUCGUGGUCUGCGCUGUUGGGUUUCGGCUGCUUCAGCUCUUCCCAUGCCGACCGCUCUGGCUCCGGCUCCGGCUCCGGCAACGGCAACGCGGCCAAGGUGGCCUCCUCCAGUUCCAGGCCUCCGGCACCCGCACCAGCGCCGCUGCCUUCGCCAGAGGACCUAUCGCUGUCGCUGGCGGGGUCUGACGUGCUCGCUUUCACGGUGGAGGAGCUCCGGGUGGCAACGCGGGACUUCUCGAUGAGCAACUUCGUCGGCGAGGGCGGGUUCGGCCCCGUGUACAAGGGCCGCGUCGACGACCGGGUCAGGCCCGGCUUGCGGCAGCCGCAGGCCGUCGCCGUCAAGCUGCUCGACCUCGAGGGCUCCCAGGGCCACAAGGAGUGGCUGGUAAUAAGCAAGUUUCAUUCUGAAUCCAUCCAUCCAUUCUUCUGAAUUCAUCUUCAAUUCGUUGCAGAAUUCCGAUCCCUCGUUGAAAGUAAAAGCUAACACUUCGCAAAUUAAAUAGAGUCGUUAAUUAAUAAUCUCUUUCACUUCUGAAUGAUUUUGGUUUGGGCAGUGGCAGUUCAGCACUUCAUUCAGUCUGGAGUAGUAUAACGAUUGGCUUUUGUGUUUUUAAUUGAGGUAAUAGUAUAUUUGAACUAAUCAGCUGGCAAGAUUGGACCUAUUUAUCAUUUUAUUAGGUUUAUUAUAGAGAAGUACUACCAUUUACACUGCAAAUAAGUUUAUUAUUUUUUUAUUCUUAUGAUUAAUCUAUUGAUACACUUAUGCAUCAUAGAUAUUAGUAUUUUCUAACACAUUUGAUCAAAUUUGAAAUUGAUUGACCUAUUUAAAAAUAGAAAUUAGAUUUUUGGGGGAUGGGAGACUGGAGAGUACAGUGCUAAGCAGUAAUGUUGAAGUUCAACUGUUGUGUUGACCAUGUUCUCGGUGCUCCCCUUCCUUUAAUCUGUCUUUAGAUAUAAGAUACUUAAGAUAAACUAGCUAAUUAAAAAAAGUCAAUUAUCCUGUCAUGUAUUUAUUAUAUUAGAAACUUAGAAAGUAUAAUAUUAGUAUUUAAGCACUUGUUGACUUUGCAACGAAACUAAACUAAAAAUAGUAGAAUUAAACUGAAAGAUUAUUAAACUGUUGUUGGCUCUAGUCACUGAUAAUUAGUAGUACUCACUAUAUUCUAAAUUAUAAGACGUUUUGGCUUUUCUCUGUACAUUGUUUUUAUUAUUUUUAUUAUGUAACUAGACAUAAUAUAUACUUAAGUGCAUAGCAAAAAUCUAUGUAUCUAGAAAACUCAAAAGCAUCUUCUGAUUUGGAAUGGAUGGAUUAUUAACUUAGAUUAACUAAAUAGAAUUAAAAUCUUAUACAGCUUCAGAUAGUUUUUUCCCUACUAUUUCCAGGGAGUGCCGUUAAAAAAUAAUCCCUACUAUUUCCAGCGAGUGCCGUUAAAAAACAAUCAUACGUGGAAUGAAGUUAAUUUCUACUUCCAUUUUAGUACUUCAUGUAAGAAUGAAUUGAGCCCUGCUCAAAAGUCCAAAGAAAAUAGUAUUGUUCCCAUCCGAAGAAAAUAGUAGUGUCGCCAUCUAUAGCUUAGCUGUGAUCACUUUUGGAAGUCGCGAUGUCUUCUCCCCUCUUCAGACACACAGUUUCCUUUGAGAAUUCUUUGUUUCGUGCCCUGGAGAUGUAUGUAGCGCGUCAACUUGUCAACCACCAAACUAACACUGCUGAUUUGGUCAAACAAUUCUUCUUUCCAAGUGUUGGUGGUCAAAAUAUUCCUUAAAAUACUAAGAAAAUGGUGUUUGUGUUGACUUGCAACUACUAGCUGUGAUGAUUUACUUGUUUUUGCUGGACUGGACUGGACUGGACAGGCUGAAGUUAUUUUCCUUGGGCAGCUGAGGCAUCCACAUCUUGUCAAACUCAUCGGCUACUGCUACCAGGACGAGCACAGGCUUCUUGUGUACGAGUUCAUGGCCAGGGGCAGCUUGGAGAAGCAUCUCUUCAAAAGUAGGGCAAAUUGAUCGUCUAUAAAUUUGAAUUCAAGUUUUUCUUAGCAAUAGAAACUCUACGAAUUCGAAUAACGAUCUGCUGGUGCAUGAAUGAAUGCUCUCUCUUCAUGGAAAUGAAAUGACAGAGUACACUGCUUCCCUGCCGUGGCUGACGCGUCUGAAGAUCGCCAUUGGAGCUGCCAAAGGUUUGGCCUUCCUCCACGAAGCUACCAAGCCCGUGAUCUACCGCGACUUCAAGACCUCCAACAUCCUUCUGGACUCAGUAUGUCUGUCAUGAGAUGCAUGGCCUGGCCACAAGAUCAAGUUGAUGUGAUUUUCCUUUUCCUUCCCUUUAUAAUUCACUGAUGAUCGCUUGUGUUGUGUUGUGUUGUGUUUGGAUCAUAUAUGCAUCAUCAGGACUACACGGCGAAGCUGUCUGAUUUCGGGCUGGCAAAGGACGGGCCUGGAGAAGACGAGACCCACGUGUCGACCCGAGUGAUGGGCACGCAGGGCUACGCCGCACCAGAGUACAUCAUGACGGGGCAUCUGACGACGAAGAGCGACGUGUACAGCUUCGGCGUGGUGCUGCUGGAGCUGCUGACGGGGCGCAAGGCGGUGGACAAGAACCGGCCGCCGCGAGAGCAGAGCCUGGUGGAGUGGGCGCGCCCAUGCCUGCGCGACGCUCGCCGGCUGGAGCGCGUCAUGGACCGGAGGCUGCUGCACCCGACGCCCACUCGAGCUGCCCACAAGGCCGCCGGGGUAGCGCACCAGUGCCUCAGUGUAAGCCCCAAAUCACGGCCUCAGAUGUCCGCCGUCGUAGAGGCCCUGGAGUCGCUGCUCGCUCUAGACGAUGCCGCUGUGGAGCCAUUUGUAUACACGGCGCCGCCGGCGAACAGAUGACCUGACCUGUGCUGGUCAUCUUGUAUUGUAUGUAUGCUUUCCGGCCGUUGGUGUGGUAAUUCCAUUUCCCUAGCCUAACACACAUACACACGCACGGCUCAUUCAAAUCUCAAGACUACCGUUGUUGAUCUUGAUCGUGCAAGGAGGAUGGUGGUACUGGUAGGGAGCACGCGUGCUUUGCCGGCGCCAAAGCGAAAGGCGGCGUGGCCAGACAACGCACGCAGCCUUUUUCUCUUCUUUUUCCGUCGUGUCCCACAAAGGAUGGGAUCUGUGUUGUGUGUGUGUGUCUUCACUACGGUAGGACGAUUUCAGGCAAGAAUCUUCACAUAGCACUAGCACCAUUGUACUCGUACCAUGAAACAGGCAAGCAGCAGCUCAUAUAGCAGAAAUAUCUGUUAACAUGUUCAGCGAUGCACUCGUUUGAAUCUCAAUUUUUUUUUUAAAAAAAAAAGUUUAAAACAUAAACUCCGCAGAAUACGUUCAAAGAGAUAAAACCACGUCAAUACAACUUGACAGGGUAGUAGCAGAUAAACACUGUAUUCUCAAUACAGGGUUUACCAGGCACACCGGCAUAUAAUAUGGCAACACCAAACGGCGGAUUCAUUCAGAUCCAGGGUUACUUCAUGUCAUGUCUGAUGAAAACAUAUAAUAACGCUAGAAGGAAAAAAAACAAAGGAAACCUCACAUGUUAAUUCCACAAGUUUAGUUUCAUGCCGGACUUCUGAAAACUAGAGGAGGCCAAGUUGAGGUCCGGCGAGUUACCGACCGACCCACACCCGGUACCCAGGGAAGGAAGAAACAAAUACAGGUUUGCAGUCGAGAGCUUCACGCCGAUUCUCUUUGUGAAGCGAUCAGCAAACUAACAUCAACCUAUCCUAUCCUUCAUCUGCUAAGCUAAGCAGCAUGAUUAGACGACUUAGACACCAGGAAGACUCAGCUUAAUUAUUAUUCACCUCACAUCUUCCAUGUAUACGCGACCGGGCUGCGAACGACGUGUUCAUCGUUCACCCAGGAUAUCCACCCGAAAUCCGGUUUCGCGUGGCUCUGACCAGCCUUGGACGCAAAGGUGACAUGGUACCUGAGCUUCUGCCCCGCCUUCUUGAAGGUCAGUUUCGCCGGUGUCACCGUGACAGCAACGGAUUCAGGGCUGAUCACCUUCACGUUGUAAACCGAAGUCGCGGGGCCAACAUUGGUUAGCUCCCUUCUGAACCUCUGCACCGGCUUUGAUUUCUGAUUGAACACCACCGAGAAGGAUGGGUAGUUGAGAUCACCGGGGCGGAAUUUCUUCGGGCAGGAGACGUUGGACGUCUUGGUGAUCACUUGGAUGUGCGGGGCGCUGUAGUUCAGGGAGCAGAGGAAGGCAGCAUAGUCGUUUGUAGAGAUGUCGUACACGAGGCCCGGAGAAAGCGCCUUCUGUGGGUCGACAUGGCCGGCGCCGUAAGCAAACGCGUUUGCAAGCGAACCGUCCGCGGCGUCCCGGAGAGAGGAGUUUGUGUUGUCAACGGUGUAUGCAGUGGUCAUUAGCGCAGACUUGAUGGCAGCAGGGCUCCAGUCAGGGUGAGCGGCCUUCAUGAGCGCAGCCACUCCACUAAUGUGAGGGCACGACAUCGAUGUGCCUGCAGGAAUCAAAACAAGUAAUCAAUUGGUAAUAUACUUGACUGAUAAAACUGAUGUAUUCAGGACUGAGGAAUGUCAACCAUGAAAGAAACUCACUAUAUAAGCAUGAACAAUAAAAUAAAUAGAAUAAGAAACUGACAGUUCAGCAUACAAGAGCUGUGCCUGGAUAGAGUCUCGACAAGUCAGUUUUCCUUGCAUUCUACUGUGUAAUAUAUCAACUAUUCUAAAAAAAUGAGGAAUCUGUCUCUUUUCUCAUAGGAAAGAUCCACAGCAUGGUGAAAAAAACAGCAGCUAUUAGUUCAACCGCCUUGACGACAGGAAGCAGAAAUUCCACUCUGGAAACACUAAUCUGCUGAUAACAAAUCAAUAACCCAACAUCCACAUAUACCGUAUGUAUUCUUAGAAAUCAAUCUACUUAAGUAUAGGAGAGAAUCAGAGACUCCUACACUAAUUAAACAAAUACUAAUCAAUGAGAACUGAGAUCUCUCAGAAUUAUUUGAUUAUAUUUCAGCAGUGAUGACACCUUUGCUAAGCUAGUACUGAAAAUACCACCACAGUUUUGCAAGAUCCUUCGUUUCAGAAAAAGUUAUGCAAGAUCUGGUUUAUAGAGUUGGAGAGUACUCAAAACACUAGUGUCCCCUUGCCUCAUGCCUUUUGAAUUGUCAAGAAAAAGAGCAAAAGUAAAAGGUAACUUGUCCUUGCUGCUGUUGCCUUUUAAGCGGUUCAUAUCUAGCAGAGCAUCACAUGUGCGACCCUGACAAAAGAUGGUGAAAGCAAAUGCGAUUUCUUACGACACGAAUGAAAGUUAAGAUGAAACGGCCUUUCUGCAACAGCAUGAGCGUGACUGUAUCUGAUAAAAGGCCCUGUUUGCCAGUAUUAUCUCUUUUACUAGCUGAAUUGUCUAUGCGUAAGAGUAGGAGCAGUAGUAACUCCGAACAGGCUAGCAACGUGACAAUACUAUGUGAAAUUUUGAAUCUGAGCACUGAGCACGAGCGGUGCAAGAGCUUGAUAAAGACGACAACAACAAGACAAGAUGUGAAAAAUUUGAAUCUGAACGACGCAAUAGCUUCCUAGGGAUAGUGAAAAUUCUGAAUCUGAACAAGAACAAUGCAGGAAAGAGCUUGGUAGGGACAGUGGGGCACUCACCUGAGAUGAUGUUGAAGUGAGUCCGGCGGCCGUCUUUGGCGAGUCCGGUCGGUCCAGCGACGCCGGUCCAAGCGGCCAGGAUGUUUACCCCCGGGCCGAUCAUGUCCGGCUUCAAGAUCUCCGGCACCACGGUGUUGGGGCCGCGGGAGCUGAACGCCGCCACGACUGGAGACGGCCGGACGCCAAGAACCGUGCCGCCGAAGCUCAGCAUUGCCAUGGGCCUGCCGCCGCCGCGCCCGCGCGCCGCGUACUCCCGUAUCUUGUCACCCACCAUCCGCCCCACCGCCACCGCGGGGAGCAGGUGGCUGUCCGCCACGAGCUCCUCUCCGCUGGCCGCCGUGUUGGCCAAUAUCAUGCCGGCGCCGCCGGCCGCCUUGACGACGGCGCCCUUCUCCACGCGCGCGUUCACGCCGCGGUCGCAGAGAACUAUUUUGCCGCGCACUGCGGCCGGGUCCAGCGUCCCAGAGAGGCAGAGCUUGCUGGCGUUGUCACGCCCGCCGCCGUAUAGGAGCGGGAGCAUGGCGGGGCGUGGGGAGGGAGAAGGCCCCGCGUAGAGGGACACGCCGGGCAGGCGCACGCCUGUGGGGAGCGUGACGUAUGCCGGGAAAUCGCGGUCGAGUGUCCCGGCGCCGACGGUGGCGACCCACGGAGCCGAGUUCGAGACGGUGGCGCCGGAUGGGCCGGAGUUCCCGGCGGAGCAAGAGACGAACACGCCGGCCGCCGCGGCACCAAAGGCGCCCACCGCUACGGUAUCCCGGAAGUACGGCGCUGAGCCGCCGCCGAGGGACAGCGACAGCACGCCCACCCCAUCAGCGACAGCGGCGUCAAUGCCGGCUAGGAUGUCGGAGCCGAGGCACCCCUCCGGCCAGCACACCUUGUACGCGGCCACGCGCGCCCCGGGCGCCAUCCCGCGCGCCGUCCCCGUGGCGUACCCGAGCAGGCUUGCGUUGGCCACCACCGCGCCGGCCGCCGUGGUCGCCGUGUGCGUGCCGUGCCCGUCCCUGUCCCGGGCCGACCUGAACGUCCUCUUCCCCACGCCUAUUGCGCCGCCGUUUGCCGCAUGGAGGCCGCGCGAGAAGCUGCGCGCGCCCACCAGCUUCCUCCCGCACAAGCUCGGCGGGAAAUCCACGCCAGCCUCGCACACCCCCUUCCACCGCGCGGGCGGCGGCGGCAGGUUGCCGCCCGCGAAGCUCGGCGACUCCGGCCAUACGCCGGUGUCAAGAACCCCUAUGACCACGUCGUGCGUGGCCGCCUCCAGAUUGCCGAUGGCGGGCUGGUAGGCCGGCGUGAGAAGGCCCAAGAACUCCGGGGAGCGCGUGGUGUGGAGCUGGAACACCUCGUCCGGCACGACCUGGAGCACCUCGGGGCUGCCGCGGAGCAGGGGCAAAUGGCCCGGUAGCAGCGCCGCCGCGAAUCCGUGCGCGGCGGCGGAGUAGGAGUACAGCAAGUGGCGGGACGGGUCGAUGGACAGCGACUCGAGAUGCGCCGCGUGCCAGUGCGCCGGUGUCCGGUGCACGGCCGGCAUGCGCGCCGGGUCCAUGAACACGAUGUACGUCGUCGUGUUGCUGCCGUUGCCAUUGGCAUGGGCAAGCGAGGGGCUUGCAAGGAGUGCAAGGAGGAGGAAGGGGAGAGCAAGCUCCAUUGGAGGAGGGAGCUGCGAGUGGAGGGGAGUGAGAUUGAGAGUGAGGUGGUGAAGUGGUAGUGAUAAUGGCGGCUGGGCGGGGGCAAAGUAGGUAGGGCCCUUGUGCAGUGCUUUAGAGAGGGUUUUGGGGGCUUUGCAGUGGAUGAAGAUAGAAGAGAAUGUCUCGGGCAUUUUUAUAAUAAAAUGAAUAUAAAAAAUAGAUUAGGAGAAACAUGAUGAGUGAGUAAUGGAACAUCAUUUUAGGAUUAAAAUAAAUUUUGCAAUUAUUUGGCUAAAGAUUGUUUCUAAUGUUCUACUGCUAAAGUUUGGUACAUCUAGCUCUGUAAUCUUUAUGAAAUAUUUUUAGGAGCUUUGGAAGGUUUUGGAGCUUUUUAUUAGGAUUGUGACUAUUGAUAUAGAGGAUCAAGCAGAUAAUCUUCAUUUUCUAAAAAAAAAUGGUGGUUUUGAGUAGUAUGUAAUGCAUCAUCAUUUCUACAUUAAUGGAUUUGACCAUUAUUAUUUGGGUGAAGUAUUUUUUUAAGCGGUAACAGUUUUGUGAUAAUUAGGUUCCUUUUAUGCUACAAACGAGUUUUUCAUGUAACCUGGUUGAUCAAUGGUAUCCUCUCCUCUAUAAAGAGAGUUUGGAGACUUCUUUUUAUGGAUGAUUGGUGUGACUUAUGGGAGGAUUGAUACGUAGAACUAGAAGAAUGUUCUGCGUGUUGUGGGAAUCGAUAGUAAAAUUAUACUACUUAGGCCUUGUUUAGUUUCAAUUUUUUUUUGCAAAAUAUACACUGUAGCACUUUUAUUUAUAUUUGAUAAAUAUUGUCCAAUCAUGAACUAACUAGAUUCAAAAAAUUCGUCUCGCAAAUUACAGGUGAACUAUGUAAUUAGUUUUUAUUUUCGUUUAUAUUUAGUGCUCCAUGCAUACGUCUAAAGAUUCGAUGUGACGGGUAAUCUAAAAAGUUUUGUAAAAUUUUUUGAAACUGAACAAGGCCUAAUAUUUAUUUAUAAUGAACGGAUAAAUAUCGUAAUAUAUGUUAGUGGAUGAUUUUUGUCACUCUGAUAUAGAAUGUAUGUUAGUAAAUAAUGUAGUUUGCUAAUGUAAAUUACUUGAAUGAAGACAUAAUGGUAUGUGCUAGUGAUCUUGAUGUGGACACAUUGUAUAACCAGAUAGUUGUAUGUGCUAGUGAUCUUGAUGUGUACACUUCACAUGACGAGAUAGAUUGCUAUGUAGAAAAAGAUAUAUAGAUAUAGAUGUCUUUGUUAUUCAAGUUGGAGAUAUGAUUAGUAUCGAUGAGUAAUGUAACUACAAUUUCUGCACAAGCCAAGCUUCUUUUAUUUCAUAUAUGCAGUGAGCUUUUUCCGAUUUUGUGGAUCAAUUGCACCCAAAGUAUGUGAAAUAUUUUGGGUGGGUGGGGGGGGGGAGAACUAGCAAAACUAAUAAUGUGUUUACCCAUGUAUAAAUCGAGGUUUGGUAUGAUUUUUUGUACAUCAUGCGUUAGUAAUAUUGAGGAAAUACUCUAGGUAUGUUUUGUGUUUGUAACAUGGCAUGAUGGCAGUAUUAUUCUAAGUUGGAAAAGUAGUCAUUUCGGAGAACAAACAAGAAGUAAUUGCAAGUCAAUUGCGAUAUACUAUACGCUUACCACUAUUAUUAUUAUAAACUUAUAUUUCCUCCGUCACAGCUGUCACACUUUAGAUUAGUUACAAGGUCUUGUUUAGUUCUAAAAAAAUUGUAAAAUUUUUCAGAUUCUUCGUGAUAUCAAAUCUUGUGGUACAUAUAUGGAGCAUUAAAUAUAAAUAAAAAAUAACUAAUUGCACAGUUUACUUAUAAAUUACGAGACGAAUCUUUUGAGUUGAUUAAUAUGAUUAGAUAAUAUUUGUCAAAUACAAACGAAAGUGCUAUAGUGUCUAUUUUGUAAAAAAAUGGAAGUAAACAAGGCCUUAAUAUAUAGAUAUAUAAGGCCCACUUUGGAUCCGUAUAAAAAAUAUGUUGUAUUUUAUUAGAUUGUGUACAUGUAUAUGUCAAAAUCUAUUAGAAUCCUAUCUUGUUUGGAUGGGAUUUUAGAUUCUAAGGUUUUUUUUUUAUUCAAAUUGUUAGAAUCGUAACCAAACGGUACAUAAAGAGUAAAAUACAUUGGCGGCCCUUUAACUUGUCGCCCUGUGCCACUUUGGUCCAUGAACUUGCAAACGCGAAAAAAAGGCCUCUAAACUUGUCAGCAUGUGCCACUUUGGUCCAUGAACUUGCAAACGCGAAAAAGUACCCCCUGAACUUGUCGACGUGUACCACUUUGGUCCAUGAACAUGUAAAUAUGAAAAUAACACCGGCUGCAUGGCACCGUUUAUGGUGCUAACGUCAGCGAUGAUGUCAGCAUUUCUUUUUUAGUUUACGAAAUUGAUAUACUUUUAUUCGUAGCAUCAAAUAUAUCAAAAAAUAUAUCAAUUCGUUGCAUUUAUUAAUUAAAAGAGAUAAUUUUAAAACUAGCAAAAAUUAUUCGUUUUCUAGGUUUCAUAUUUUUCCUAGGCAGAGUACACAUGAAGAGGCUACACAAAACAUUUCAUGAAUUUAGCAUUUCAUUAAUAAUUAGUUGUGAAAUAAAUAAAUAUUUGUUGACGUGUUGAAAGAGCCUUUACACGUUUAUGGACCAAAGUGACAUAGGCCGACAAGUUCAGGGGCCACUGUUUUGCGUUUGCAAGUUCAUGGACCAAAGUGGCAUAGACAGACAAGUUUAGGGGUCACUUUUUCGGAUUUACAAGUUCAUUGACCAAACUAGCACAGGCUGACAAAUUAAAGGGCCGCCAAUAUAUUUUACUCGUACAUAAAUAAGUCAGGCCCAAACGGCCGAGGGAUGCCAAGAAGGCAAAAAAUUUUUUACCGUUUGUACUAGAGCACGGGACGGAUGAUGGAUCUCUUAAGCACAAGUAGUCAAGUAUUUGACAUUUGAGUAUAAACCAAAUAAUUAGAGCCAAAUUAUAUCAUAAGUUUUCUCAUAUUGUCUUUAAGAUACAUUUUCUUUUCUAUUCCUUCUUACGAUCACAACACUUACUAUUUGAGCCACCAUUAUUUAUGCAUCUAUGUCUAAUGUGGUGUUUGUAUGAGAAUCAAGCUAUCAUCUUUCCUGUCUUUUUUCCUCUAUAUCAACAUUAGCUUAGCUAUAAGCCCAUUAAUAUAUCUACUCUAACACAAAUGUGUACAAUACAGAUAGCGCGCGUAUGCUGCAAGGAACACUUAGACACCGUUCGGUUGGUACCGAACCUUGCCCUGGAACCAUUCCGAGCAGGAAUGAUAGUAUAAUUUAUAUAGUUUUUGUUGGAAUUAUUACUAGGUUCAGGCUUAUCAACAGAAUCUACCAAGUAUUCAUAGUAGUAUUUUUCUUUCACAAUAAAAAUUAGUUAAUAGUAUUUCCCUCAAAAAAAUUAGUUAAUAGUAUUUCUUGUAAUGAUUUAUCAAUCAAACGAACAAGACUUUAACCUGGUGUCUAGUGGGAUCCACCCGUGAAUAGCAAAUUACUGAUCCUAGGUCUUGUUUAUUUCCUGAAAUUUUUUGCAAACUACUAUUAUAGCAUUUUUAUUUAUAUUUAAUAAUUAUUAUUCAAUCAUAGAUUAACUAGGCUUAAAAGAUUCGUCUCGCAAAGUACAUACAAACUAUAUAAUUAAUUAUUUUUUAUCUAUAUUUAAUACUCUAUACAAUUAGUAUAAGAUGUAAUGUGAUGGGAAAUCUUAAAUAUUUUGCAAAAUAUUUCAGCAAGUAAACAAGCCCAGUGGGAUUGUCAAUUUUUGUAAGCCGUGAACAGUGAACAGGGUACCAACAAUACAUGUUGCAGUCACUGUCAAGCUGGCCCCACGAAACGUCACCUGGCCGCCUCACAGACAGGCCGCAGGCCGUAGUCAGUGAGAGUGAGCCGACAAAUCACUGCGGGCCGGGUGCAGUGCAGGGGCAUGCAGAGGAGGACGGACCGGCGAGUCGGAGAUUUUUGAAUUUUGCAUCGGCGCACGCGCACGCCGGACGGAGGAAAUGCCAUGCAAUGCAGCACGCAUGUCGUCGUCUCGUCUCGCACGCACCGGCACCGCUGCUCUUCUUCUCGGGAUACGCGAGCUCCAAGUGGUUGGCCAUGGGCUGGGCCAGUGGUGCAGGCUCGCAAGCCGAAACGACCAGAGUAGCGCAGGGUGCAACUUCUCACUGCAGUUUUCUCCCAAUAAGGCCUUGUUUAGUUCAAAAAAAUUUACAAAAUUUUUUAGAUUUCCCUUCACAUCGGAUCUUUAGACGCAUGCAUAGAGUAUUAAAUACAGAUGAAAUUAAAAACUAAUUACACAGUUUGGUUGAAAUUGACGAAACAAAUCUUUUGAGCCUAGUUAGUCCAUGAUUGGAUAAUUUUUAUCAAAUACAAACGAAAGUGCUACAGUGUCGAUUUUGUAAACAUUUUUGAACUAAACAAGGCCUAAGGCCAUGUUUAGAUUAGAGAUAAAACAUUGGAUAUGUCAGAAGGAUGUCGCGAGGGGUUUUUAGAAACUAAUAAAAAAACAAAUUAUAUAGCUCGUCAGGAAACUGCAAGACAAAUCCAUUAAGCAUAAUUAAUCUAUCAUUAGCACAUGUGGGUUAUGUAGCACUUAAGGCUAAUCAUGGAGUAACUAGGCUUAAAAGAUUCGUCUCGCUUUUUUUAACUAAACUGUGUAAUUAGUUUAUUUUUUAUCUACAUUUAAUGUUUUACGUAUGUGUCCAAAGAGUCGAUGGGAUGGAUGAAAAAUUUUUGGGUGAGUAACUAAACAGGGCCUAAAAAACUCACUGCAGUCAAGCAGUCCAAAAUAUGGCCGGACUUAUUUACCUUAGGCCUUGUUUAGAUUCGAAAAAAAUUUGGAUUCUGACAGUGUAGCACUUUCGUUUUUAUUUGACAAACAUUGUCUAAUCAUAGAGUAACUAGGCUUAAAAGAUUUGUCUCGCGAUUUACAGAUAAACUGUACAAUUAGUUUUUAUUUUCGUCUAUAUUUAAUACUCCAUACAUGUGCCAUAAGAUUCGAUGUGACAGAAAAUCUUGAAAUUUUUUUACUUUUUGGAGUGAACUAAACAAGACCUUAAAAUCUAAAAACUUUUCAAGAUUCUCUAAUAUAUUGAAUCUUACAACAUACUCCCUCCAUACUUGAUUUAAUAGCCGUCCUAGUCAGCACUCAUAAUUUCGCAAAGAGUGAUGUCCGUAGGAUAUGGAUACCGGACGUAAAUGCCCCUACACGUGAACGUCCAGCGCCAUGAAAAAAACCACGACUAACCAGGAGUCGAACCUGCAACCGACAGCCUCGCACCCCACGAAGCUAACCAAUCGAGCUAAAAAAACUAU
RNAcentral lists this long non-coding RNA (14087 nucleotides) under Sorghum bicolor (sorghum). RNAcentral describes it as "long non-coding RNA (SBIC_LNC000760)". The record is from RNAcentral. Lineage: Eukaryota; Viridiplantae; Streptophyta; Magnoliopsida; Poales; Poaceae.